AUUCCAGCUCCAAUAGCGUAUACUAAAGUUGUUGCAGUUAAAAAGCUCGUAGUUGAAUUUCUGGUCUUGGACAGCGGUCUGCCUCAAACGAGGUACGCACCAUCUAUCCGAGUCCAUCCUCGGGGAAAACAUGUCUGUGAUUCAGUUCAUGGGCAUGGGAUCCUCGUCAUUUACUGUGAGCAAAAUAGAGUGUUCAAAGCAGGCUUAUGCCGUUGAAUAUUUUAGCAUGGAAUAAUAAGAUAAGACCUUGGUCUAUUUUGUUGGUUUGUACUCCAAGGUAAUGAUUAAUAGGGACAGUUGGGGGUAUUCGUAUUCAAUUGUCAGAGGUGAAAUUCUUGGAUUUAUUGAAGACGAACUACUGCGAAAGCAUUUACCAAGGAUGUUUUCAUCA
Molecule: ribosomal RNA, 391 nt
Filed under: Chrysophyceae sp.
Lineage: Eukaryota; Chrysophyceae
Description: partial small subunit ribosomal RNA
Rfam family: Eukaryotic small subunit ribosomal RNA
Source: RNAcentral